This 214-nucleotide unclassified non-coding RNA is filed under the name Hevea brasiliensis (rubber tree). The record is from RNAcentral. Lineage: Eukaryota; Viridiplantae; Streptophyta; Magnoliopsida; Malpighiales; Euphorbiaceae.
CUUUCACUUGAAAGACCAACGAUGAUAUUAUAUGGAAUUGAUAAUAUCCGCGAUCUGUUUGGACACACGGUGGAUCUUAGUCUCAUGAAGAAAAACCCUCUGUGUCUCAUUGGAAUACGGUAGAUUGUGAAAUGUUUCUUAUUUGUGGCCUUAAUUAUUUCUUUUCAUUUGAGAAUAAAUUGAAUGAGUUUUAUGUGGGGGAAAUUAGGAUGGG